Molecule: unclassified non-coding RNA, 314 nt
Filed under: uncultured Tomentella
Lineage: Eukaryota; Fungi; Basidiomycota; Agaricomycetes; Thelephorales; Thelephoraceae
Description: sequence contains ITS2
Source: RNAcentral
AACGCACCUUGCGCCCCUUGGCUAUUCCGAGGGGCAUGCCUGUUUGAGUAUCAUGAACACCUCAACUCUCAUGGCUUGCCGUGAUGAGCUUGGACUUUGGGGGCUUUGCUGGCCUAUGGUCAGCUCCUCUCAAACGAAUCAGCCUGCCAGUGUUUGGCGGCGUCACAGGUGUGAUAACUAUCUACGCUUGUGGUCGCCUGCCAGGUAACCUUCAGCAAUGGAGGUUCGCUGGAGCUUAUAAAUGUCUUUCCUCAGCAAAGACAGCUUUUCGAACGUUCGAUCUCAAAUCAGGUAGGACUACCCGCUGAACUUAA